CAGAUAUUCUACUGAAACUCUGCAAUCCACCAAAGCUCCAGGUGCCCAGGCUUUUGCACAGGGCCCCUUCCAGUGUGUGAGGUGGAUCUGGAUGAGAAGGACACACAGUACAUCUGGAAGCGCCUAAUCUGGUGAUGAAGAGGAGAUGAACAAGUCAUUCAGCUCUUCCCUGGACACACUACUUCAUGGCCUGGAGUAUUAACAUAAACUGAAACUGAAUCACUGGAUGUGAUCUAACUGGAAUUAAAGGUGCAAUGUGACUGUUAUUGCAGGGUCAGUCCUUAAAGAACUCUGUUGCUUGCAUGAGGCUUAAGUCUUUGACAUAUGAGGCUGGAGGGAAUUAUGUGAUUGUCACAAUUAUCUUAUUUAUUAAAUCCCUUCUGCCACUGCCCAGGGAAGACAGGAUUCCAGUGUCAAAAAAUGACUUUGCAAUAGAUAAACUGAAGAUUGAAGGGAUGUGUAUUCUGAGCAAAUUUAAGUGUGGAAAAGUAUUGCCAAACAGUAGCUAACCUGCAUCUCUGCUUGAUAAGUGUCAACUGCUGAUGCUUAUCAACUUAUAAUAUACUACCAAAAAAAGGGGGGUAAGGAAGUUUGAGUUGCCAUAAUUUGAUAAAUCCUUUAAGGACCUGGGAUAUUUAAUCAACAGAUUUUAACUGACAGCCCGCAGUGCCUAUUUCCAGAAAAAAAUAAUGGAAAUGGACUGAUAAAAAUAGAAAUUAUUCACAAAAAUAGAUGAGCCUAAUGUGCGAAUCAAAUUGUUUGAGUCUGAAAAAGAGAGGGAAAGAAGGAAAAAAUGGUUACUUUGCCUUGGCUGGGAACCUAAAGAGUGGAACAAACAGAUUUGCAAAGGAACAUUACAGUUUACUUUCAAGAUAUGACAGAAGUUCAGAGUAUCUAGCAAAUCAGAUGGUUCUACUGCAUUUUGGCAAAGUCAUCUGGACAUAAUGAAUGCAAAGAUGUGCACAUUUCCCAUGUCCUUUGGGAGCUACAGCUCCCAAAGUGUAUGCUCAGGAAGAGUAUGGCAGGAGGGCAUGCCAGUGUGUGCAUGCUGCCUUCUGACCACCUUGAUGGUCACCGAAGUCAGGGAGAGGAAUACAGUGAUGAACCAGGGCUUUGAGCAUAAGACAAAAGGGAACUCAAUGCCUGCAUUAUUCCUCUGUUUGUUUUAUUAUGGUUUAAAAAGCUUUUAAUGUUCAUUUUAUCUGGUAAGUCCUGCAGACAAAACUUCUGAUAGGGCAAAACAAUUGUUCUUUCAUACAAAACCAGUUUUUCCCCACUGAUGCUGCAGUACUUUCCUGUAAUUCUUCUUCAGAAAAUUACAGAGACUUCUCUGCCUUUCACAGGCACAAAUCAGGAGUAUAUCCUUUGUGUCUAGUACCCAAAUUAACACCAGUGUACUUGGGACUGGAAUUUGACAUGCUGUCUGGAUUUGGCAAUGGACUGGAGAAACUCAUGAUUUAGGAGCUGUUGUACAAAAUAACUUGAAGAAAACAAGAAUACUUGUUCCAAAAGAAGGAUGGUAAUUCCCCAGAGAAAUGACAAUAUUUGAUGAAGCUAAAUCAAAAACUAGAGAAAUGUGUGUCAAAAAUAUCCAGGCCUAUGAAUAAAGCUGAAGCAUAUUCUUGCAAGCCUAUUUGGUACAUUUAGCCACAAACUUGACUGACACUUAAAAUAGUCAAAAAACCCAGCACAUGCAAUAUGAUGUUUAUCACAAUGCAAAGUACACAAUAUUCUUGUGUCAAGUUACCACUAGAAAUGUCUCAAAGGCUGACUCAGGAGAUUUUUGACCACAAUUGAGUGGUAAAGAUUAGAGAUUUAUUAUUGGAGCAUAUUGAAAUUUGACACAUUACAUCACAGA
Long non-coding RNA from Corvus hawaiiensis (hawaiian crow), 1858 nucleotides. RefSeq lists it as uncharacterized. Lineage: Eukaryota; Metazoa; Chordata; Aves; Passeriformes; Corvidae. The transcript has 3 exons. The record is from RefSeq and is a predicted model, not a curated record.